GUUAACUCUUUCAAUCAUUUUUAACUAUCGAUAUCUUAGACAAUGGCUAAUUAGAAUAUUGGCGCGUCUGCAUUCGUCAACACGUUUCGAAAUCAGGCAGUUUCGAUGGUUUCAACAAAGGAAAUGGAACAGUAACUUUUUUGGAAACGUGGCUGCACCAAAAAUAGCAAGGCAAAUGAAAUUACAAUUAAUGUGGUGGUCGCGUCUGGUCGUUUCAAUUCUGGUCGCGUCUCAAUAGAAUCGCUUGUUACAUCGUCGAUGCGGUCUAUGCUGUUUAGCAGAUGAACAUCAUCCAGUUUCAUUGGGAAAACUCUGAUCUCGUGUAUGCCCAUGUGAAUGUGGGUGUAUUCACGAGGACGACCUUUUCCCGUCAUUUAACUCUCCAGAGGACGGAGCAACUGCUGUGAUAAGCCUGGCUGUAUUUCCCAGGCUUAAAGGCUCAACCUUAUACGAACCUGAGGCUUUGUCAUUUUCUCGUCAGUUCAGCCCAAUCAACACGUCCACCCAAAUGACAUGGAAUGAUUCACCACUUGAUUCGAGUCGUCAAUUGUUGCAAAAGGUAAUCGACAGUCGUAGAUUAUGACAUAUAAUGAAUAACAUUUAAUGGAAUUUGUCAUAUGUGGCCGUGAGAUGGCCAUUCAACGAGGAAGGAGCAGACGCCACUGGGGUCGUCACACGUUUCAUUUGGUGUCGCCCGGAAAGUGGCUGCCGCUCCAAGUGCUUCAACCCAACCGCGUGGCUUUGCGCCUCAUCAAGUUAACGAGAUCCCUCUCGUACAAGUAAGUUGUUGCUGUAAUUAUUUGAUUCGGCCAAUUUUUGUGUACGCACGCCAGUGAUAUUCAGAACGGGUUUCAUUUCCUACAAUAUUCAUGGACAUGUGUGGCCCUAUUAAAGUCUUGCAAUAGCCAUGGGAUUCAACUGCGUAAGCGGCGA
Long non-coding RNA from Daphnia pulex (common water flea), 933 nucleotides. RefSeq lists it as uncharacterized. NCBI's taxonomy places the organism in Eukaryota, Metazoa, Arthropoda, Branchiopoda, Diplostraca, Daphniidae. The record is from RefSeq and is a predicted model, not a curated record. The transcript is spliced from 3 exons.